CGCAAGGAAGUAAGAUCCCUGAAAGAUGAUCAGGUUGAUAGGUCUGAGGUGGAAGUGUGGCGACACAUGGAGCUGACAGAUACUAAUCGAUCGAGGACUUAACCAAA
This 107-nucleotide ribosomal RNA is filed under the name Bacillus subtilis. Its description in RNAcentral is "partial 23S ribosomal RNA". It matches the Rfam family "Bacterial large subunit ribosomal RNA", at positions 2819 to 2925 of the family's 2925-position model. Lineage: Bacteria; Bacillati; Bacillota; Bacilli; Caryophanales; Bacillaceae. The record is from RNAcentral.